GGCGCGCGCGGGGCCGGUCGGUCCCGGGGCUGCGGGUCCCUGGGCCGGAGCCGGCGCAGUCUGUCAAGCAAGAUCAGGCGCCCGGAAUAAAGCUUGCACCACCAUCACUUUGCUUCUGAUCAAAGACACGGUGUGAUUUUUAUAGCUCGUGUCCUAAAUACGUCCUAGGUCUUUUCAUGAAACCAAGACUCGGGCUGUUGACAGCAGACUGGAACUGCUGGAACCUGGCAGUUUGAUUUGAAAUGGAGAGCAUUACGCAGCUGUUCAAUGACUUGUGUGAAGCACACUUGACAGGUUUGCUAUGGAAAGUCCACUUGGGCAGGCAGAAGAUCAGCAAGAGAAGGGCUAAGCAGAAUCUGAAAAGGGUUGCUUAUAACGCCCUGUUCAUAAACCUUUUUCAAGAUGAGGCUCGUAAGCUGCAAUCAAACAUUUCUGGGCUGCCAGUGAAAAACAAAAUUUUGAUGCUGUCUUUCAACUUGAGAGUUGGUGGCCUGGGUGCCCAAGCAGAUAGACUGGAGAAUCUCGUGGAGGAACUGGAAACAGCUGAAUGCUUACCAUUUACUGAAGUUAAUUCUGUCUUGGAUCUCUUAGUACAACUUGCUGGAACAGGUCCUCCUCAGCUUGUACCACAAAAAAAGGACUAUUUUCUGAACAACAAAUACGUCGGGAGAAACGUCAAGUAUCAGGGUUACGACUACUACGAUGUCAGCGUGUUUGAAGCUGAUAUACAGUCUCUGAUAACAAACGAGGAAUGUCAGUUCAACGACACAAUUCAAAAGACACUUCAGAUCAUGGAGGCUGCUCCUGGCACUGGACUCCCUGCCAUAGGGUUCUCACAGAGCUAUCCUGCUGGGGAGAAGUUUGAGAAGGAAACGCGGGUCUCGCUCUUUGGUGCUCUCGUCCACAGCCGUACAUAUGACAUGGACAUCAAGUUGGAUUUGCCACCAGUGCCUGACAAUGCAGAUUUGUCAGGACUUGCAAUUAAAGUUCCCCAAAGCAUAGACCAGUCAGAAGACGAGGGGUUCCAGUCAGCAUCCAAUCUGACUCCUGAUUCUCAGUCAGAGCCAAGCAUGACUCCAGACAUAGACUUGUGGGAUGCAGUGCUUACCUAUGGACCCAGCAAACGAAGAUGUUGGGAAAGAAUUGGAUACCCACCUGGUAAAAAAGAGGAGCCGUAUCUUACUGAAGCUGGGAGAGAAGCAUUUGACAAAUUUUACAAACUUCGAGAAGGAGAGUUGCAGCUGUUCAGCAGUGCUGUGCUUCAGCUCCCACAGCUUGUGCUGAUGAAAGAACCUGAACUGGUUAAGGAUGUUUUGAAUGUCCUCAUUGGUGUGGUAUCCACUACAUUUUCACUCAAUCAGGCUGCUCAGACGUUUGUGAUAAAGGAGGGGGUGUAUGUAUCUGGGACUUCACCAGAAACAAUGCACAACCUGCUCUCGGAAGUUGCAGAGUAUGGAACCUAUUACACACGACUAAGUCGUUUUUCUCUUCAGCCAGUUCUAGAUUCUUCAUACAGCAAAGGACUUGUGUUUCAGGCAUUCACGAGUGGGCUGAGAAAGUACCUUCAAUAUUACCGAGCCUGUGUUUUGUCAACACCUCCUACUUUAAGUCUUCUAACCAUCAGCUUUCUCUUCAGAAAAUUAGGUCGUCAGUUGAGGUAUUUAGCUGAACUUUGUGGCAUAGGAACAACAGCACUGGGGAUCAGUGGUGGAGCUGGUGCUUCUUUUCCUACGGGUGUUAAAUUGCUUUCAUAUCUGUACAAAGAGGCUCUCAACAACUGUAGCAAUGAGCAUUAUCCUGUUCUUCUGUCUUUGUUGAAGACGAGCUGUGAACCAUACACAAGAUUUAUCUAUGAUUGGGUAUACAGUGGUGUAUUCAGAGAUGUUUAUGGAGAAUUUAUGAUCCAGGUGAAUGAGGAUUAUCUUUGUUUCAGAGAUAAACAUUACUGGACUCAUGGUUAUGUUUUGAUUUCAAAAGAAGUAGAAGAUUGUGUCCCUGUAUUUCUUAAACAUAUUGCUAAUGAUGUAUACAUAUGCGGGAAAACCAUAAACUUGCUGAAACUGUGCUGCCCUAGGCAUUAUAUAUGUUGGUCAGAUAUACCCGUUCCCCGGAUUUCAGUUAUUUUUUCCCUGGAGGAGCUGAAAGAAAUCGAGAGAGAUUGUGCAGUGUAUGUGGGUCGAAUGGAAAGAAUUGCCCGGUACAGUUCCAUAAGCAAGGAGGAAAAGAAUUUACGCAUGGAAAUAGCCAAACAAGAAUUAAUUGUUCAUGCUCGAGAAACUGCUAGCAAAGUACUCAAAGCCAUUAGUGAUCGACAAAUGUCAGAACGAAUGUCUUUGGAUGCAAAGAAACGGGAGCAGUUUCAGAAACUGAAAGAGCAAUUUGCAAAAGACCAAGAGCGUCGCCUUGCAAUAAAGCAAGAGGAGAUUGAUGAUGAUUUCAGCUAUGCCCGAGAGCUCAGAGAGAGAGAAAAAAGACUGAAAGCUUUAGAAGAAGAACUGGAAAAAAAGGCAAGGCAAGAAUUAAUUGACCAUUAUAGCAAACUUUCUGAUGAUGCAGCCCGUAGGGAACAGAGAGCGUUAUGGAAAAUCCAGCGACACAAGUUGGAAACAGCCCGUCUUAAGUUUCUAUUAGAAGAUCAGAAACGCAUCGAGGAAAUGCUUCAAAAACUUCCAGAUGGAAACUACAGAAGAAAAGUAGAUAUUAUUCCUUACAAACAGUGCCAGUUUGCUUUAGAUAAAAAUGCUGUUGUGAAAGAUUCACAUUCACAAAUUUCAUCUCUGAAACCUCUGCAUUCUAAUGAGACAGCUGGCAGAAAAUCAGAGCCUGGCCUGGAAUAUGCUGCUUCCACUGACAAAGCACAGCCCAUGCCAGAGCUGACAGACAGUCAUGCUGAACAGCACUUCCAGCCUAAAGCAGCAGGAUCUGAAAGCCAUCUCCAAAGUUCAGAGCAAGCAUGCAGUCCUUUAGAUAGUGCUGAUUCCUUGCCUGAAUCCAACGUGAAUAUAGAGGAUUUCUUGUCAAAGCCCCAAGAUGAACAGCCUGUUGCCAUUAGUGUACAAGGAUCUUUGCUAGAUGAAGCAUUCCGAAAUAUUAACUCAGAUCUUUCUGAGACUUCUCAAGUAAGUGAAAAUCAGUCUGUCUGGAGAGGAGCACCGGAAGGAGAAGACAAUGCACCAGCGCAUCAGCAAAAUGAGUAUGAUUUUAAUACUGUUCUCAGACCAUCUGCAGCUUGGCAAGGACAUGUUAGACAUGGAGAAAAUAUAUUUGAUGUGGAGUGCAGAAGGCCUCGGUGGAAUACUCACGGACAUGCAUCUGAUGCCAACAUCAGAGUGGGAGAAUAUGUACCUCAUGUGGACACUUCACGGCCACAUUCAAGUCCUUAUGGUCACUCUUCAGACUCCCAUAUAAAAAUCAGCAGCUAUACUUCUGAAGUUGAGUCUAGCCGACCCCGGUGGAAUGUUCAUGGGCAUGUUUCUGAAGCUCAUAUUGAAAUUGGGGAGUAUGCUUCAGAAGUAGAGCCCUCAAGGCCCAGGUGGAACAUUCAUGGGCAUGCUUCAGAAGCCAAUAUUAAGAUUGGAGAGUAUGUGUCAAAUGUAGCUCCUACAAGGCCUCGAUGGAACGUCCAUGGUCAUGCAUCUGAUGCCAAUAUCAAGAUUGGUGAAAAUGUGUCUGAGGUGGUAUCAGCUAGACCUCGUUGGAACAUCCACGGGCAUGCUUCACAGUCACACAUCAAAAUUGGAGAGCUGGUUUCAGAUACGGAGCCUUUGAAAACUCGUUGGAGCCCAUUUGGUCAUGUAUCCCAGUCAAGCAUCCAAAUAGGGGAGUGGGCCCCGUCCACAGAAAAUGAUCCAAUACCUCAUCGUAAAACCAUUUCUGGUCCUUCAUCUGACUCCACAGUUCAAACACUUCUGUACAGUGAAGGAUUAUCUCCUGCUGAAGGGAGCAGAAAGGAACCAAAACCAUCACAAGUUAGGGAAAAGACUUUACCACAGUCAUCUGACAGUGUUGCAGUCUUUUCUGAUGCUAAUAUUAAAGAUGACAAAAAAGAAGAUACAAUGGAAGAGAAACAAGAAGUAAUUGCAAAUGUCAACAAGGACCCCUCUCCAGAUUCCUCACAGAGCUUACAGGAAGAAGAACCUGAAAAAGGAAUUCCACAAGAUAACGUGCAUCAGGAAACUCCAUUUUCUGAAGCUAAUGCCCCCAGGACUAAGGAGGAGGAAGAGGAAGAUACAUGGAAGAAAGAACAAGCUUAUUUGAAAGCCCUAUCGGAUCAGUAUUGUAUUGAGAAGUACCAAGAUAGUUACGAUUUGAUGUCAGAACUACCGGUUUCUCACCUCUUGCACCAUGUGAUACCAAGAUCAUACACUUUUCCUGUGGAUCCCACAGUACAGUCAGCAACAGAUGAAACAGCUGUACAGCUGAGUGAGCUCUUGUCUCUGCCAGUGCUGAUGAAACGUUCCAUUACUGCUCCACUUGUAUCUCAUGUUUCUCUUGUGAACAAAGCAGUGGUCGAUUACUACUUUGUGGAACUGAACGUAGAGAAGCAUUUUGAAGCACUGAGACACUUUUUGUUAAUGGAAGAUGGGGAGUUUGCUCAGUCACUCAGUGACCUGUUGUUUGAGAAGCUUGGAUCAGGACAGACACCUGGUGAAUUGCUGAAUCCACUGGUUCUUAAUUCUAUCCUAAAUAAAGCAUUACAAUAUAGUCUUCAUGGUGACACCCAACUUGCUUCCAAUCUUUCUUUUGCCCUCAAGUAUCUUCCAGAAGUGUUCAAGCCUAAUGCACCUGAUGCUCUGAGUUGCUUAGAGCUAAGGUACAAGGUUGACUGGCCUCUGAACAUUGUCAUUACUGAGAGCUGCAUGAAUAAAUACAACAAGAUCUUCUCCUUUCUGCUUCAGCUGAAGCACAUGGUGUGGACUCUCAAGGAUGUUUGGUUUCAUUUAAAACGUACUGCUUUAGUGAGUCGUGCAUCAAAUUCUGUUCAGUUUCGGCAGCUCCAGCUGUAUAAACAUGAAAUGCAGCAUUUUGUGAAAGUUAUUCAAGGUUACAUCGCUAAUCAGAUUCUUCAUGUUACAUGGUGUGAAUUUGGAAACAAACUAUCUUCUGUAGGCAACUUGGAAGAAAUUCACAGAACACAUGCUGAAUACCUCAACAAAGCAAUCUUCAGGGGUCUGUUGACAGAGAAGGCAGCCCCUGUGAUGAACAUUAUACACAGCAUCUUCAGCCUCAUUUUGAAGUUCCGCAGCCAGCUGAUCUCUCAGUCAUGGAGCUUCGAUGCAGGGAAGCAAAUGGCUGUCCAUCCCAACUUUGGUCUGAUGCAGCAGUCCUACAAUACCUUCAAGUAUUACUCCCACUUCUUAUUCAAAGGUAAGAAAUUGCAUCAAGUUUAUAUAGAAGAAAAAGUUAACUGUUGUGUACCAACUGAAAAAAUUAGAGAUUUUGGAAGUGUGAUGUGAAAGUAGGAAGAUGUGUGUACUUGCCAUGUGGUAGAAAAUGUAGUUGCCAAAUGAAGACUGCAUUGCUGUGGUUUCCAAAGAUCUGCAUAUCCAUUGAUUAAAAUGUCCACACAAGAAAUCUAACAGAUAUCCCAAAACUGACCGUAAUUUUUUUGCUAAUGAUGUGCAAAAUAAGUAUUUGGUAUUUAGCUCUCUGUGUGUACUUACGUUUUUCUUUUCUCUAGAACUGAGUUCUGGGAACUUUUUAUUGGCAACAAUGAGAGAUAGUUAGAUAUCACUUAGAAGUAAUUUUAGAUAUAUCUGCAGUAGUUGUGUAUUACCAUUGUUAUGAGAGUUGAAAAUUCUAAUUCCCAUGUUGAACUAAACCUCAGGGAGCCUGCUGGCAUUAGCUGGAGCUUAUAUCCAGAGCUCCAGGCAAGUGUUUUUCAGCUGCACAGAUCAUCUGCCAAAUGUUCUUUCCUUUAACAUGAUAAAAUUUCUUUUCACUGUCAUCUUAGCCUGUAAUUUGAAGAAAUGGUUGAUCUUUCUUUCCUCUCCAUUUCUUUUUCAGAUCUUGCUUGUGUUUUUAGUAAAAGUUAGUUUUCAAUCCCCUAAGUACAAAGGUGGUUUAUGGGGUUUGGGUUUUUGGUUGAUUUUUUUGUUUGUUUUUUUUUCAGAAAGCCCUUAAUUCCUGAAGGAAGUGCAUCUGUUUUCCUUAGAUCUAUUUUUCUAGACUAUUUUAUAGUGAGACUAUAUUCCUCAGGAAACGAGCUGCCCUUUUUAUUCUUUAAGGGUGUCCAAAAAUGGUGUCAAAGAACCAAAAGCAGUUAUUUCAGGAUGAGUUAGAAUGGCUGCUUCCAAAUUCUACAGGAAGUCAGAACACCUCUGGGAACCACCUAAGCCCAUACUACGAGAUCUAUGGUUUCUUCAUGGACAGAGAUUAAUUGACCGUUCCGUAAGGAAAUUUGCUGAGUGACCUAGUUCUUUACACCCUCUUCCUUAAGCACUACAAAACAAAUGUCCGCUUGUUCAUCUACACCUGUUCCUUCAGUCACCAUGUACUGUAAAAUGCUCUUUCACAGUGGGCUGAUCCAGAAUCCAUUGAAAGCCAAUACAAAAUAGUCUGGACUUCAGUGGCUUUGGCUCAGGUCCUAAUGUCUAACUAUACACUUUUCCCUUCAUCCUUGCAUGUUACUGCUGCUUGCUAAUUCCCUUUACGUUAGUGCAUGGGAUGUUUAUGGGCCCAGGGAGUCCCUGUUGACUUUUUUCUUUGGUAUCAAGGAUGUUUAGAACAGUCAGCUUGUUCAUUCAUAGAGCUUGAGGGAUUUCUCUUUGGUUUUCUUUCUCACAAUGGACUUCACUCAAGAAAACUUCAGCAGAGCUUCUUCUUUCACAGCGGUCACCAGAGGACCUAAACAUGCUUCCUGUGGUAACAAAGCUUGUAAAUAGAGGAUAUCAGCCC
Molecule: RNA transcript, 6897 nt
Organism: Apus apus (common swift)
Lineage: Eukaryota; Metazoa; Chordata; Aves; Apodiformes; Apodidae
Gene: TUBGCP6
Gene name: tubulin gamma complex associated protein 6
Exons: 27
Source: RefSeq, a predicted model, not a curated record